CCUACGGGAGGCUGCAGUGAGGAAUAUUGGUCAAUGGACGAGAGUCUGAACCAGCCAAGUAGCGUGAAGGAUGACUGCCCUAUGGGUUGUAAACUUCUUUUAUAAAGGAAUAAAACGAGGCACGUGUGCCUUUUUGCAUGUACUUUAUGAAUAAGGAUCGGCUAACUCCGUGCCAGCAGCCGCGGUAAUACGGAGGAUCCGAGCGUUAUCCGGAUUUAUUGGGUUUAAAGGGAGCGUAGAUGGGUUGUUAAGUCAGUUGUGAAAGUUUGCGGCUCAACCGUAAAAUUGCAAUUGAUACUGGCAGUCGUGAGUACAGUUGAGGUAGGCGGAAUGCGUGGUGUAGCGGUGAAAUGCUUAGAUAUCACGAAGAACCCCGAUUGCGAAGGCAGCUUACUAAACUGUGACUGACAUUGAUGCUCGAAAGUGUGGGUAUCAAACAGGAUUAGAUACCCUUGUAGUC
Molecule: ribosomal RNA, 460 nt
Filed under: uncultured bacterium
Lineage: Bacteria
Description: partial 16S ribosomal RNA
Rfam family: Bacterial small subunit ribosomal RNA
Source: RNAcentral